Molecule: non-coding RNA, 27 nt
Filed under: Cricetulus griseus (Chinese hamster)
Lineage: Eukaryota; Metazoa; Chordata; Mammalia; Rodentia; Cricetidae
Source: RNAcentral
CCCGUCGGGGAGAGAGUGUAAUAUGGC